AUACGGAGGGUCCAAGCGUUAUCCGGAAUCAUUGGGUUUAAAGGGUCCGCAGGCGGUCAAUUAAGUCAGAGGUGAAAGCCCAUCGCUCAACGAUGGAACUGCCUUUGAUACUGGUUGACUUGAGUUAUACGGAAGUAGAUAGAAUAAGUAGUGUAGCGGUGAAAUGCAUAGAUAUUACUUAGAAUACCGAUUGCGAAGGCAGUCUACUACGUAUAUACUGACGCUGAGGGACGAAAGCGUGGGGAGCAACCAGGAUUAGAAACCCUAGUAGUCC
This 274-nucleotide ribosomal RNA is filed under the name uncultured bacterium. RNAcentral's name for it is "partial 16S ribosomal RNA". It matches the Rfam family "Bacterial small subunit ribosomal RNA", at positions 523 to 796 of the family's 1533-position model. The record is from RNAcentral.